AUCACUUCCGAGCCUUUUGACUAAGAUCAAGCAGAAGGUCUGUUCUUGUCUGUCUAACAUUGGUUGCGUCCUCUAUCUGAAGACAAUAUAAUAAAUGAAUUUUAGAGCCAAUCCAUAGACUAGAAAUUGGUUCUAUCCACUAUACUCAUUGACCUGAUAUUGCAGAACCUCCAGGGAAGGUGCAUGCCCU
Small nuclear RNA from Microtus ochrogaster (prairie vole), 190 nucleotides. Its record names the gene U2. It matches the Rfam family "U2 spliceosomal RNA". Rfam says of the family: U2 is a small nuclear RNA (snRNA) component of the spliceosome (involved in pre-mRNA splicing). Complementary binding between U2 snRNA (in an area lying towards the 5' end but 3' to hairpin I) and the branchpoint sequence (BPS) of the intron results the bulging out of an unpaired adenosine, on the BPS, which initiates a nucleophilic attack at the intronic 5' splice site, thus starting the first of two transesterification reactions that mediate splicing. The record is from Ensembl. NCBI's taxonomy places the organism in Eukaryota, Metazoa, Chordata, Mammalia, Rodentia, Cricetidae.